GGUCUUAAUAAUUUUUUGAAUUGCAAAUUUGAAAAUGCUUUGAAAAGCUAAGGCUU
Molecule: transfer RNA, 56 nt
Filed under: Augilodes binghami
Lineage: Eukaryota; Metazoa; Arthropoda; Insecta; Hemiptera; Caliscelidae
Description: tRNA-Cys
Source: RNAcentral